AGCGUAUAUUAAAGCUGCUGCAGUUAAAAAGCUCGUAGUUGAAUUUCGGGACUAAUAUGUCGGUCGUGCCUCGGUACGUACUGGCUUAUUGGUUUCUCCUUUCUGAAGAACCAUGAUGUCAUUUAUUUGGUGUCGUGGGGAAUCAGGACUGUUACUUUGAAAAAAUUAGAGUGUUUAAAGCAGGCUCACGCUUGAAUACAUUAGCAUGGAAUAAUGAAAUAGGACGUUUGAUUCUAUUUUGUUGGUUUCUAGGAUCGACGUAAUGAUUAAUAGGGAUAGUUGGGGGCAUUAGUAUUCAAUUGUCAGAGGUGAAAUUCUUGGAUUUAUUGAAGACUAACUACUGCGAAAGCAUUUGCCAAGGAUGUUUUCAUUAAUCAAGAACGAAAGUUAGGGGAUCGAAGACGAUCAGAUACCGUCGUAGUCUUAACCAUAAAC
This 435-nucleotide ribosomal RNA is filed under the name uncultured Glomeromycotina. RNAcentral describes it as "SSU rRNA". It matches the Rfam family "Eukaryotic small subunit ribosomal RNA", at positions 596 to 1037 of the family's 1831-position model. The record is from RNAcentral. Lineage: Eukaryota; Fungi; Glomeromycota.